This 468-nucleotide ribosomal RNA is filed under the name uncultured bacterium. RNAcentral's name for it is "partial 16S ribosomal RNA". It matches the Rfam family "Bacterial small subunit ribosomal RNA", at positions 28 to 507 of the family's 1533-position model. The record is from RNAcentral.
GACGAACGCUGGCGGCGUGCUUAACACAUGCAAGUCGAACGGAAAGGCCCUGCUUUUGUGGUGUGCUCGUGUGGCAAACGGGUGAGUAACACGUGAGUAACCUGCCCUUGACUUUGGUAUAACUUCAGGACUCUGUGGCUUAUACCGGAUAAGAGCUCCUUCUGCAUGGUGGGGGUUGGAUUGUUUCGGCGGUUGGGGAUGGGCUCGCGGCUUAUCAGCUUGUGGGUGGGGUAGUGGCUUACCAAGGCUUUGACGGGUAGCCGGCCUGAGGGGGUGACCGGCAACAUUGGGACGGAGAUACGGCCAAGAAUCCUACGGGAGGAAGAAGUGGGGAAUAUUGCAAAAUGGGCGGAGGCCGGAUGAAGCAACGCGGCGGGGGGGAUGACGGCCUUCGGGUGGUAAACCGCUUUCGCAGGUGACGAAGCGUGAGUGACGGUAACUGGUAAAGAAGCACCGGCUAACUACGUG